CUAACCUGGCCUCUAGCUAUGUUGUGAUCUACAUAAAUAACAUGUGGGCUUAUAUCUAAACAUUCUCAGGAGCCAGUUGAGUUGUAAAAAAUGAAGGAUCGUGGAGUUGGCCUGGUUGGGGGCCAUGAUAAACAAGUCUGGGCCACACCCGUCAUAACAGUCCACUUUGUACGACCAAAGAGGUUCUAUCUCAAAACCAUAUGUCAAUGAGGGAAGUAGCUUCUUAGCCUUAUAAAGUGGACACACCUUUCUUAUUUCUUCAAUGUGGGAUACACAUCUCAAUACAAACUCUCAUUUAUAAACUCACCCAAUGUGGGACAACACACCACUCACAUGUGGGUUUUUUCAUGGUCUCAACAGGCCCAGCUUCGCUUCACCCUCAUAUCAAACUAUAUGCAUGUGAAAAUUACUUAUUAAUUUUUUUAAUUCAAUUGGCAGAACUCGCAAAUCAAGAAAUGGGUGAUUGCCAAGUGCGGACCUUAUGGUUCUCAGUGUCCUGAAAACAAUAGCUUUAAACAUCAAGAGGGUGAAAGCAUCAAAGAAGUGAUUAUAAGGUAUGGUUUUAUUGUGGAUGCAAUUGGAUUCGUCGUAGCUAACCCGUGUGGAGGUACCUACACUAAGAUGUUUGGUGGCAAUGACCCUCGCGCAAACGAGAGAAAGAUUGUACUCAAGUGCCGUGAAAAGAUAACUCAAAUAAGUGGAACCUAUGGUAACUACAAAUACCAAAACAAUGAAUGCCUUAUUGCCGCUAUGAAGAUCCACACCAAUUUAUGUCCAACCGGAUAUGGACCAUUUGGACAAGGAGAUGGAGUCGAUUGUCCCCGUAAUUUCUCAUCACCACUCCUACUUGACAACCCUAUUGUAGGAGUUUUUGGAAGGCACCACAACUAUCUUGAGUCCAUUGGACUUUUCUACAAAAAGUUGGAAUGAUCAUGCUCUUAAGUGUGGAUGUGAAGUGUUUGGCUAUCUUAAUAGCUAGCUACGUUCCAUCUUUCCGCUAAAUUUGCAGUGGUUCUGUACUUCUACGGUCAUCUAUAUUGACUAUGUAUGUUUUUUUUUUGUUUUUUUUGUUUUUUUUUUUAACGGACUAUGUAUG
Molecule: long non-coding RNA, 1096 nt
Organism: Chenopodium quinoa (quinoa)
Lineage: Eukaryota; Viridiplantae; Streptophyta; Magnoliopsida; Caryophyllales; Amaranthaceae
Exons: 3
Source: RefSeq, a predicted model, not a curated record